Molecule: long non-coding RNA, 1232 nt
Filed under: Androctonus crassicauda
Lineage: Eukaryota; Metazoa; Arthropoda; Arachnida; Scorpiones; Buthidae
Source: RNAcentral
UUUUAAUUUUGGGUUUUUAUAUUCACUAAGAUUAGUCAUGUAUAGGAAAGGAUGUUUCCUAAUUUCUUCUAUCAAUAAUUCUUUUCCAUAUCAGACGCCAUUUGCUUAUUCCAUGUGUGUUUCGAAUCUUUGUGCACGUGGUUGUGAAAAUCAAAAUACAAACAUAACCAAAUGCCUCCUUUCUAUUUGCUAUCAUAAUGACAUAUCCACUGCAAUCAGUUGUAUCCAUUGCAACCAGCAAAGAAUUGUGAAGUUAGGGCUGAUGGGAUUAUUUCUAUAGCAGUGAUCAGAGUUGCAAGAUUAGUGUGAAUCCAGCCUAACAAUCCUGACUUGAUUUUUACUCAAUGCAAACAAUUACUAUACUUUUGUGAAGAAAGAUUUUUAGAAUAAGAGCAUUUAUUUGCUUUAGCCCCGAAUUGAAUCUGUGAUGAAAGAUAUGUCCGGCAAUCAAUUUCUGAUUUAAAUGCAUUGCAUAGGAUAUCUAGAACACCUCAGAUCCAGUAGAGAGAGAGGAUGCUCCCUUUCUUUGUCAGCAUAUUAAUAAUCUCUGUCACUAUUUUCUUUUGUGCCCUAAUACUGAAUCAACUUGUACUCUACUCUCUGUAACCAGUUCCAUAAUGAGAUGAUGUCGUUCUCAUAUAAGCUUUGAAGUAAAACAGAACUUAUCAAGGCUUUUAAUACAAUUUAAUUAUCUAAGGGAUUGAAAUAUAUUUAUUAACAUAGUCUCUGUCAACAUUAAUAUUAAGCUUCCUUUUGUGAAAACCAAUUUGUUUUCCUUCAGUCUCAUUAAAUUACUUGAAUAAGUAUCAUAGCUGUUUAUUAAAGCAAAAGAAUUUAUGAUCCAAUUUAGACAGUUCAAUAAAUACAUGCCAAUUUUCAAUUAAGUCAAAAAUAUUUUACCUGGAGUUUCAAACUCUAUUCUUAUUGAAGGCACUUUAAGGGAAAGUGCAAUAUUGAGAGGGCUGCUAGGAACAAAACAACGUUGAGAGGCUGUAUUAUAAGUGUUUUAAACAGUUGCAUUCCCAAUUAUUUAUUCUUUUACAAUAAUCCUCCAAUACAGAUAGAAUGUAAAUAUAAUAGCUUCUCCUAGUGUCUCAAAGGAUACUUCAUCUUUCUCUGUUGCAAUAGAAUUCAAAAUAGUAACAUAAUAUUUUACACCAGGUAUGUCAAACUUAUUUUAAUUCAAGGGCCAUUUAAUGAACUUGUAAGAUUACUGCAGGCCGCAUCACGUU